Molecule: transfer RNA, 84 nt
Filed under: Haloprofundus marisrubri
Lineage: Archaea; Methanobacteriati; Methanobacteriota; Halobacteria; Halobacteriales; Haloferacaceae
Description: tRNA-Arg
Rfam family: tRNA
About the family: Transfer RNA (tRNA) molecules are approximately 80 nucleotides in length.
Source: RNAcentral
GGAAGGGUGGCUCAGUGGUAGAGCGACCGCCGUUCGGCGGUGGAUUACUUAAGGCUUCGCGUGGUUCGACUCCCGCCCCUUCCA